RNAcentral lists this ribosomal RNA (780 nucleotides) under uncultured bacterium. RNAcentral describes it as "bacterial SSU rRNA". It matches the Rfam family "Bacterial small subunit ribosomal RNA", at positions 28 to 808 of the family's 1533-position model. The record is from RNAcentral.
GAUGAACUCUGGCGGCGUGCUUAACACAUGCAAGUCGAGCGAAGCAGUUAAGUUGAUUUCUUCGGAUUGAUUCUUAAUUGACUGAGCGGCGGACGGGUGAGUAACGCGUGGGUGACCUGCCCCAUACCGGGGGAUAACAGCUGGAAACGGCUGCUAAUACCGCAUAAGCGCACAGAGCUGCAUGGCUCAGUGUGAAAAACUCCGGUGGUAUGGGAUGGGCCCGCGUCUGAUUAGGCAGUUGGCGGGGUAACGGCCCACCAAACCGACGAUCAGUAGCCGGCCUGAGAGGGCGACCGGCCACAUUGGGACUGAGACACGGCCCAAACUCCUACGGGAGGCAGCAGUGGGGAAUAUUGCACAAUGGGGGAAACCCUGAUGCAGCGACGCCGCGUGAGCGAAGAAGUAUUUCGGUAUGUAAAGCUCUAUCAGCAGGGAAGAUAAUGACGGUACCUGACUAAGAAGCCCCGGCUAACUACGUGCCAGCAGCCGCGGUAAUACGUAGGGGGCAAGCGUUAUCCGGAUUUACUGGGUGUAAAGGGAGCGUAGACGGCAAGGCAAGUCUGAUGUGAAAACCCAGGGCUUAACCCUGGGACUGCAUUGGAAACUGUCUGGCUCGAGUGCCGGAGAGGUAAGCGGAAUUCCUAGUGUAGCGGUGAAAUGCGUAGAUAUUAGGAAGAACACCAGUGGCGAAGGCGGCUUACUGGACGGUAACUGACGUUGAGGCUCGAAAGCGUGGGGAGCAAACAGGAUUAGAUACCCUGGUAGUCCACGCCGUAAACG